CCUCUUCCGUGCGGGCCCGAGUCGCCCUAUAUUCAAUGCGCCUUCGCAAGAAGGCUAUGGCGAUAAACAGGCUUCGUAAUAAACCAUCCGGACCCGGGGGCGGUACCCGGCGCCUCCACCCCAGCCCGUACCGACGCGGGCUGCGGCGGGGGCGAAACAGGAUCGACGGGGGCGUAAAGGAUGUUCUUUUGCCCGGCAUGAUACCGCCGUUAUCGGGUCAAACCUAUAGUUGCCAACGACAACUAUGCUCCGGUGGCCGUCGCUGCGUAAUGCAGCGCUGGUACUGGGAUUCAAGCCCUAGAGGGUAGCACUUCUAGGCGGGGCUCGGAGGCGCCUGGCAACAGAAGCCUCCACU
RNAcentral lists this transfer-messenger RNA (355 nucleotides) under Hyphomicrobiales bacterium. It matches the Rfam family "Alphaproteobacteria transfer-messenger RNA". Rfam says of the family: Bacterial tmRNA, also known as 10Sa RNA or SsrA, is named for its dual tRNA and mRNA-like properties. Lineage: Bacteria; Pseudomonadati; Pseudomonadota; Alphaproteobacteria; Hyphomicrobiales. The record is from RNAcentral.